AGAGUUUGAUUCUGGCUCAGGAUGAACGCUGGCGGCGUGCCUAACACAUGCAAGUCGAACGGACCAAUGCUCAUUUCAGCUUUGCUGAUUUGAGCAACGGUUAGCGGCGGACGGGUGAGUAACGCGUGGGCAACCUGCCCUGUGCAGGGGGAUAACACAGCGAAAGCUGUGCUAAUACCCCAUAAGACUACGCUAUCGCAUGAUAGAGUAGUCAAAGCUUUAGCGGCACAGGAUGGGCCCGCGUCUGAUUAGCUAGUUGGUGGGGUAACGGCCUACCAAGGCGACGAUCAGUAGCCGACCUGAGAGGGUGAUCGGCCGCACUGGAACUGAGACACGGUCCAGACUCCUACGGGAGGCAGCAGUGAGGAAUAUUGCACAAUGGGGGAAACCCUGAUGCAGCAACGCCGCGUGAGCGAAGAAGGCCUUCGGGUCGUAAAGCUCUGUCCUAAGGGAAGAAGCAUGACGGUACCUUAGGAGGAAGCCCCGGCUAACUACGUGCCAGCAGCCGCGGUAAUACGUAGGGGGCGAGCGUUAUCCGGAAUCACUGGGCGUAAAGGGUGCGUAGGCGGCCGAGUAAGCCAGAGGUGAAAGGCUACGGCUUAACCGUAGUAAGCCUUUGGAACUACUUGGCUUGAGUGCAGGAGAGGAGAGUGGAAUUCCUAGUGUAGCGGUGAAAUGCGUAGAUAUUAGGAGGAACACCAGUGGCGAAGGCGACUCUCUGGACUGUAACUGACGCUGAGGCACGAAAGCGUGGG
This 755-nucleotide ribosomal RNA is filed under the name uncultured bacterium. Its description in RNAcentral is "bacterial SSU rRNA". It matches the Rfam family "Bacterial small subunit ribosomal RNA", at positions 8 to 765 of the family's 1533-position model. The record is from RNAcentral.